UACGUAGGGGGCAAGCGUUGUCCGGAUUUAUUGGGCGUAAAGAGCGUGUAGGCGGCUAGAUAGGUCCGUUGUGAAAACUCGAGGCUCAACCUCGAGACGUCGAUGGAAACCAUCUGGCUAGAGUCCGGAAGAGGAGAGUGGAAUUCCUGGUGUAGCGGUGAAAUGCGCAGAUAUCGGGAAGAACACCCGUGGCGAAGGCGGCUUUCUGGGACGGUACUGACGCUGAGACGCGAAAGCGUGGGGAGCGAACAGG
This 253-nucleotide ribosomal RNA is filed under the name uncultured bacterium. RNAcentral's name for it is "partial 16S ribosomal RNA". It matches the Rfam family "Bacterial small subunit ribosomal RNA", at positions 524 to 776 of the family's 1533-position model. The record is from RNAcentral.